RNAcentral lists this small nucleolar RNA (96 nucleotides) under Lipomyces starkeyi NRRL Y-11557. RNAcentral's name for it is "Small nucleolar RNA snR60/Z15/Z230/Z193/J17". It matches the Rfam family "Small nucleolar RNA snR60/Z15/Z230/Z193/J17". From Rfam's summary of the family: The members of this family belong to the C/D class of snoRNAs which contain the C (UGAUGA) and D (CUGA) box motifs. Most of the members of the box C/D family function in directing site-specific 2'-O-methylation of substrate RNAs. Lineage: Eukaryota; Fungi; Ascomycota; Lipomycetes; Lipomycetales; Lipomycetaceae. The record is from Rfam by way of RNAcentral.
CAGGACUGUAAUGAUGAGUCUCAAAUGCAUAGUUCAACUGAAUUGCUAUGUUGAAGAUCUAUCCAUCAAGUCUUUCGCUCCUAUCUGACAUUUUUA